UUUUUUUUUAUGAAAAAAAUGUAAUUUUUAAUACAGGCCGGCCCGUUUAGCCCACGACUGGUAGCUCGGAUAGUAUAUUUCAAGCCCUUUUUUCAACCGGACAUUUUGGCCCGGUUCGAUAAAGCCUGAAGUCCGUUAAGACCACCGAACCACUCGUUUUGACAGAUCUAGCCUUAGUCUUUCAAGUGAAUGAAACUUUUCCCAUGCCGACUUCUUUUCUCAUCGGUUCCCAAGCUGAAAAAUCAAAGGUCCCAUUAGCUUUCUUAAUAUAUUAAAGGAAUAUAAUGUUUCAAUUUCUCUUAAUUCUCAAUUGAUUAAAAAUUUAUUGUAUUAUAAUAUCACCGUUUCAAAGGUCCCAGAAACAAAAAGAAUAAUAAACAACAUGAAGAAACCCCUUUUAAUGGGUAAAAGUGAAUGAAAACGGUGGUAUUAUAAUACAAUAAAUUUUUAAUCAAUUGAGAAUUAAGAGAAAUUAGAAUAUUAUAUUCCUUUAAUAUAUUAAGGAAAUUAAUGGGACCUUUGGUUUUUCAGCUUGGGAACCGAUGAGAAAAGAAGUCGGUAAGGGAAAAGUUUCAUUCACUGGAAAGACUAAGGCUAGAGCUGUCAAAACAAGCGGUUCGGCGGUCCUAACGGAAUUCAGGCUUUAUCGAACCGGGCCAAAAAGCCUGGUUGAAAAACGGGCUUGAAAUAUUCUCCAACUGAAAGAAAAACAAAGAUAAGCUUUGAAUAAUACUCGAGACAUGGGAAGUUAAAGUGAAAUGAGUUGGCAGUGUUGUUACCUUUUAUAAUCUCCUGGGACCUUUCAAUGACAUAAGAGCUCAUUUCUGUAUGAUGGUAUGAGUUGCAAGUAACGUCAAUUCAAUAUACAAAAUAACAAAUCUAGGAACAGCAAAUCAGAUAUUGAACAAUAUACUAAACCAUAUUUUUCACCUGAACCGGGUUUUUACCAACAGUGUAUGAGAAGAAAAGUUGAUGGUUGUUUAGUGUCUUUAAAUGUUGUAAUAACACAACCUUUAUCUGUAACGCCCUCUUUGAAUUAUUUGAUUGUUGUAAUAAGUUUAGGAUAUAUUUAUAUGAUUAUGUGAUUUAUUAAGUGGAUUAUUUUAUUAUUUAGUGGAAUAGGAUUUGAAAAUAAAAUAAGAUUAAGUUGUGGGGGCUGUUUUGGAAAUUAGAUGAGUGAUAUUUUGUUAAGUUAUAUGUUG
RNAcentral lists this long non-coding RNA (1202 nucleotides) under Medicago truncatula (barrel medic). RNAcentral describes it as "long non-coding RNA (MTRU_LNC007648)". The record is from RNAcentral. Lineage: Eukaryota; Viridiplantae; Streptophyta; Magnoliopsida; Fabales; Fabaceae.